RNAcentral lists this ribosomal RNA (384 nucleotides) under uncultured bacterium. Its description in RNAcentral is "bacterial SSU rRNA". It matches the Rfam family "Bacterial small subunit ribosomal RNA", at positions 30 to 416 of the family's 1533-position model. The record is from RNAcentral.
AUUGAACGCUGGCGGCAUGCCUUACACAUGCAAGUCGAACGGCAGCGGGCCUUCGGGUGCCGGCGAGUGGCGAACGGGUGAGUAAUGCAUCGGAACGUGCCAUUGAGUGGGGGAUAACGUAGCGAAAGUUGCGCUAAUACCGCAUAUUCUGUGAGCAGGAAAGCAGGGGACCGCAAGGCCUUGCGCUCUUUGAGCGGCCGAUGUCAGAUUAGCUAGUUGGUGAGGUAAAGGCUUACCAAGGCGACGAUCUGUAGCGGGUCUGAGAGGAUGAUCCGCCACACUGGAACUGAGACACGGUCCAGACUCCUACGGGAGGCAGCAGUGGGGAAUUUUGGACAAUGGGGGCAACCCUGAUCCAGCCAUGCCGCGUGAGUGAAGAAGGCC